This 780-nucleotide ribosomal RNA is filed under the name uncultured Neocallimastigales. RNAcentral describes it as "partial large subunit ribosomal RNA". It matches the Rfam family "Eukaryotic large subunit ribosomal RNA", at positions 23 to 616 of the family's 3401-position model. Lineage: Eukaryota; Fungi; Neocallimastigomycota; Neocallimastigomycetes; Neocallimastigales. The record is from RNAcentral.
ACACGCAUGACACACUGCAUAUCAAUAAGCGGAGGAAAAGAAACUAACAAGGAUUCCCCUAGUAACGGCGAGUGAAGCGGGAAGAGCUCAAAUUUGAAAUCUUAAAGGGUUUCCCUUUACGAAUUGUAGUUUAAAGAAGUGUUUUCUGUUGGAGUUUCGGUAAAAGUUCUUUGGAAUAGGACAUCAUAGAGGGUGAGAAUCCCGUAUUUGACCGUUGAGCUUUCCAGCUGUGUGAUACACUUUCAAAGAGUCGGAUUGUUUGGGAAUGCAGUCCAAGAUGGGUGGUAAAUUUCAUCUAAAGCUAAAUAUUGGCGAGAGACCGAUAGCGAACAAGUACCGUGAGGGAAAGAUGAAAAGAACUUUGAAAAGAGAGUUAAACAGUACGUGAAAUUGUCAAAAGGGAAGCGUUUGACACCAGUGUUGUUUAGUUGAAAAUCAAUUCAAUAAUUUUUGAUUUUGGAGUAGUAUUGACUUCAUCAGCUUGCUGCUUUCUUUUCGGAAAUUAUUGAAUGCACUUUUCAGUUAACAAGUCAACAUCAAUUUCUUUUGUUGUAAAAGGGUAAGAGGAAGGUGGCUUACGCUUCGGCGUAAGUGUUUAUAGCCUUUUACCUCUGCAAUCGGAGAGAUUGAGGACAGCAGCGUAGACUCCUUCGGGGGUUAGAUACACUUGUGCUAAGCUAUAGCCUUGUAUAGACAACUUGUUGACUAUGCUCAGUCAUGUAGCUUACUCGCUUGUGCUAUUUUACCUACGCUUAGGAUGUUGAGCGCAUGUCUCUCUCU